Molecule: long non-coding RNA, 1845 nt
Organism: Schistocerca serialis cubense
Lineage: Eukaryota; Metazoa; Arthropoda; Insecta; Orthoptera; Acrididae
Exons: 2
Source: RefSeq, a predicted model, not a curated record
CUUGAAUGCGGUUGUGCCUAUGAUACAGCUAUCUGCAUCCUUAAGUCAUGCAGGCCACCCACAAUGGCAAGUGCAUGGUUCAUGGGACAGUCAUCCCUGUACAUGUUGUUGUCCAUUAAAACAACAACAUCAGGAAAGAUAGCAAAUAACAAAAUUUUACUUAUUGUGCAUACACAGUAUAAAAAGAAUAAUACACAAUUAAAUUUGUAAGUGAUUAGAGUUUUACAGGGUGUGAAAUUUAGCCAACAGUUUCCACCUCUGGCUGCCACAACAGCUCUGACUUGGCUGAGCUUGGGUUACAGAUUACAGGUGCAUAUCAUAACAUGCUUUGGAGACUGCAUGGUGAAUUACACCAAGGAAGAAUGACUGAAAAUAGUGGAAUUUUAUUUUCAAAAUAACAGGUCUAUUACUCUGAUGCAAAGAGCUUAUCAUAACCAUUUACUAGUCAGACAUGGACCUCAGCAAUGAUGAUUUGGAAACUAAUGGCACACUUGCUGUGAUAAACCUUCCGCUUACUGGUAGACCAUGUUCAUCUCUCAGCAAAGAGAACAUUGUAGGAGUUAGGGCCAGUGUCGAAGAAGAAUGGGAAACAUCAACAUGAAGAUGUUCUAGGGAAUCAGGGAACCCGAACAUCCUUAAGGAGAAUUUUAAAACAUAAUUUAAACAUGUACUACACAAAAUACAGUUAGUGCAGGAACUGAGACCCAUGGGCCAUGAAGUGUGCCGAAAUUUUGUAAUUCACAUCCAAGAAUUAGCCAGAGAAAACAAUGAAUUUAUCCUCCAAGUUAUCUUGUCAGAUGAGACUCAUUUCCAUCUGAAUGAUUACGUCAAUAAACAGAACUGUUGGUUCUGUGUAUGACAAAUUUAAGGAUAAAUCAUGAGCCCCAGGUGCACCCUAUCAAGUGCACAGUUUGGUGUGGGGUGACCUCGCAGGAAGAUAUUUGGCCUUAUUUCUUUGAAACUGAUAACGGUCACAAUUUGUCAAUUACUAGUGAGAGCCCAAGAUAUGACUGAUAAUUUUUUAUAUCCUGCAGUAGAAGAUCAUCCCAAAAUGUGGUUUCAGCGGGAUGGGGCAACCUCCCAUACUCCCAGAACCACAGUGAAACCUCAGAGGCAACUGUUCAGUGAGCGGAGAAUUUCAAUAAAUUCUCAUGUUAAUUGGCGGCCAUGUUCCCCUGUCCUUACAGCCUCUGAUUACUACUUGUGAGGAUACCUUAAGGAAUUUGUGGACAUGAACAAAUUGUGUACACUUCAGCAGCAUAAGGACAAUAUCCAUGCAAACACUUGUGUAUUAACCAGAAUGAGAUUUUCACUCUGCAGCGGAGUGUGCACUGAUAUGAAACUUCCUGGCACAUUAAAACUGUGUGCUCGACCGAGACUCGAACUCGGGACCUUUGCCUUUUGCGGGCAAGUGCUCUAACAUAUUUUUCAAAGCAUUAUGUAAUUUUCAAAAUAACAGUUUGUUCUUACAAUGGUCUACGAGUUGUCGGAUGUCACCCAAAAUUGGCAGUCCACAGUGUGAAAGCAAAUGAGUACCUGAAAUCCACGUCGAACGCAUUGUUGACUCAAACCACAAUUAUACACAUCUUAUGAGUGAAAAUAUGUGCACCAGCAACUUCAAAGUUCAAGAACUUUAAUGUGUAAAAACUUUCGCAUGAUUACAGUACCUCUAAUGAAUUAACAUUGUGACCCAAUUGUGUUGUAAUUAACAAGUACUGAGAAAGGUCUUUGUCAUUGAAGUGAGCAAUUGUUGAACAUGUUGAUGUUAAUUAUGGAAUGAUUUAAAUGAUCUAGUGCAGUGUGACUGGUUCCAAUGAAUUAUUAAAGAACUGUGCUAAAUGUGAA